This 414-nucleotide ribosomal RNA is filed under the name uncultured prokaryote. Its description in RNAcentral is "bacterial SSU rRNA". It matches the Rfam family "Bacterial small subunit ribosomal RNA", at positions 505 to 918 of the family's 1533-position model. The record is from RNAcentral.
GUGCCAGCAGCCGCGGUAAUACGUAGGGUGCAGGCGUUAAUCGGAAUUACUGGGCGUAAAGCGUGCGCAGGCGGUUUCUUAAGUCAGAUGUGAAAGCCCCGGGCUUAACCUGGGAACUGCGUUUGAAACUGGGAGACUUGAGUGUGGCAGAGGGGGGUGGAAUUCCACGUGUAGCAGUGAAAUGCGUAGAUAUGUGGAGGAACACCGAUGGCGAAGGCAGCCCCCUGGGCUAACACUGACGCUCAUGCACGAAAGCGUGGGGAGCAAACAGGAUUAGAUACCCUGGUAGUCCACGCCCUAAACUAUGUCAACUGGUUGUCGGGAGAUUAACUCUCUUGGUAACGAAGCUAACGCGUGAAGUUGACCGCCUGGGGAGUACGGCCGCAAGGUUAAAACUUAAAUGAAUUGACGGGG